RNAcentral lists this ribosomal RNA (886 nucleotides) under uncultured eukaryote. RNAcentral's name for it is "SSU rRNA". It matches the Rfam family "Eukaryotic small subunit ribosomal RNA", at positions 565 to 1473 of the family's 1831-position model. The record is from RNAcentral.
UGUGCAGCAGCCGCGGUAAUUCCAGCUCCAAUAGCGUAUAUUAAAGUUGUUGUGGUUAAAAAGCUCGUAGUUGGAUCUCGGCGGUCUGAGGGCGGUUCACUUGCUAGUGCUACUGCCCUAUAGACCGUAGUUUUGCCAGAGGUCUCAGGGUGCUCUUAAUCGAGUGUCUUGUGAUGCUGGCAGGUUUACUUUGAAAAAAUUAGAGUGCUCAAAGCAGGCUUUUACGCCUGAAUAUUCGUGCAUGGAAUAAUAGAAUAGGAAGUCGUUUCUAUUUUGUUGGUUUUCGGAAAUCGACUUAAUGAUUAAUAGGGACAGUCGGGGGCAUUUGUAUUCAAACGACAGAGGUGAAAUUCUUGGACCGUUUGAAGACAAACUACUGCGAAAGCAUUUGCCAAGAAUGUUUUCAUUAAUCAAGAACGAAAGUUAGAGGUUCGAAGGCGAUUAGAUACCGCCCUAGUUCUAACCAUAAACGAUGCCAGCUAGCGAUCUGCCGACGUUUUUUUUGUAGACUCGGCAGGAAGCUUCCGGGAAACCAAAGCAUUUGGGUUCCAGGGGAAGUAUGGUUGCAAAGCUGAAACUUAAAGGAAUUGACGGAAGGGCACCACCAGGAGUGGAGCCUGUGGCUUAAUUUGACUCAACACGGGAAAUCUCACCAGGCCCGGACACUGGAAGGAUUGACAGAUUGAUAGCUCUUUCUUGAUUCGGUGGGUGGUGGUGCAUGGCCGUUCUUAGUUGGUGGAGUGAUUUGUCUGGUUAAUUCCGAUAACGAACGAGACUCUGUCCUGCUAAAUAGUGUCUGCCUCUCUUUUGGGCGGACAAUUCUUCUUAGAGGGACUGGCGACUCUCAGUCGCACGAGAUUGAGCAAUAACAGGUCUGUGAUGCCCA